UAGGUGCAUGAAGCGAACCCGGAGAACUGAAACAUCUAAGUACCCGGAGGAAAAGAAAUCAACCGAGAUUCCCUAAGUAGCGGCGAGCGAACGGGGAGCAGCCUGCAAGUGAUAGCAGAAGUGUUAGUGGAACAGUCUGGAAAGUCUGGCAAUAGAGGGUGAUAGCCCCGUACACGAAAACUCAUCUGUGAUACUAAGCUUGCGAAAAGUAGGUCGGGACACGUGUUAUCUUGACUGAACAUGGGGGGACCAUCCUCCAAGGCUAAAUACUACCAACUGACCGAUAGUGAACUAGUACCGUGAGGGAAAGGCGAAAAGAACCCCUGUUAGGGGAGUGAAAUAGAUCCUGAAACCGUAUGCGUACAAGCAGUAGGAGCAGACUUGUUCUGUGACUGCGUACCUUUUGUAUAAUGGGUCAGCGACUUAUUUUCAGUGGCAAGGUUAACCGUAUAGGGGAGCCGUAGGGAAACCGAGUCUUAAUAGGGCGUCUUAGUCGCUGGGAAUAGACCCGAAACCGGGCGAUCUAUCCAUGGCCAGGUUGAAGGUGCCGUAACAGGCACUGGAGGACCGAACCCACUAAUGUUGAAAAAUUAGGGGAUGAGCUGUGGAUCGGAGUGAAAGGCUAAUCAAGCCCGGAGAUAGCUGGUUCUCCUCGAA
Molecule: ribosomal RNA, 657 nt
Filed under: uncultured bacterium
Lineage: Bacteria
Description: bacterial LSU rRNA
Rfam family: Bacterial large subunit ribosomal RNA
Source: RNAcentral